AUGCGUUUAUGGCGUCCACAUCGUUUCCUCUCAUUUUCCCGAAAAACUCCACGUGAGCCUCUCUUCUUCUUCCGUUCUACCAAUCUCUCCUAUUCCCACCGAAUCCAGUCGCCAAUUUUGCUCCACUUCUCGGAAUCUCGCCGUUUCUCUACAUUUUCAAUUGCCGAUGACGAGAAGUAUGGCUUCCGUCGGCCGGAGAUGUAUCGGAGCAACCUUGCUGGAACGGUUGCUGCUUACGAGCGCCAUGUGUUCCUGUGUUAUCGAAGUCCUGAGGUCUGGCCGUCCCGCGUUGAAGACUCGGACGCUGAUCUGCUGCCGAAGCUUCUAUCUUCUGCCAUCAAAGCUCAUAAAAAUGAGAUCUCUUUUAGGACGAAACUGACGAUAUGCGAAGCAGGGGAGGGAACGGAGUAUUCGGAUGGAGAUGUAUUGAUUUUUCCGGAAAUGGUCAAAUACAGGGGCUUGAAAGAUAAAGAUGUGGAGAUGUUUGUUGAGGAUGUGCUUUUGAAUGGUGAACUGCGGGAGUCUGGAGCAUACGAUGUUUUGGCUGGCUCUUAUAUUUUUGUAUGUGCCCAUGGCAGUCGAGAUAAGAGAUGCGGUGUCUGUGGACCAGUUCUUGUUUCAAAACUUAAAGAGGAGAUCGAACUAAGAGGGCUGAAAGAUCAAACUUAUGUCCAUCCAUGUUCACACAUUGGUGGACACAAGUAUGCUGGAAACUUGAUUAUAUAUAGCCCAGAUUCAGAUGGGAGAAUCAUGGGGCAUUGGUAAGACAAGUCUUAAAUAGAGAAAAUACUUCACCCCAGAUGAUGUGCCUGAAUUGCUGGAGAAACAUAUUGGAAAGGGAGAGAUAAUAGAGAGGCUUUGGAGCAUAAAUGUUAGAUUGGAUAGCAGUAUACUGAACUCAACAUGAUUAGGAUCUGACUUGGAGAGAUUUUUGCUGCAAGCCCUCCCUUCUCAGAUUUGUGAUGACCACGAGCGACACCUAACAGACAACUGAUGGAUUGCAGUUUUCUGAAACGAAAUUUACUGCUCUGUUGAGUUCUUCUGUUCAACAAAGAAGUUCGACAAUGAUGUUGUAACGCUCUGUGUUGGGAUUUAUUCUGUAUUCAUGCAACAUCAUAUUGAAUAUCUUUAUCCCUUCUUCAAUCAAACCGGCAUGGCUACAAGCUGAUAACAACAAGAGAAACGUUACUUGGUUGGGCAUUGUCUCUAUCAUUUUGUCAAACAGUUUCAAAUCUUGUCUUCCUUGUCCCUGGAUUCUACAACCUGCCAUGCUCGCAAAGCGAAGCUUGCACAAAAUCGUUAUCUGCGAAGCCAGUAUUGACAACAUAGCAUGUCAUGGAGGCAAAGUGCUUGUUGGGAAUGCUCAAAGCUGACCAAGAAGCAAGAAUUUUCAUUUUUCACCAAGGGAACAACACCAGGAUUUAUGUUGUUCAACAUCAAAGCAGCCCAAGUAACCAGGGCUUUUUCUAAAGCACGUCAAGGAGUUCUUCAGGUGAAGCAUUUUGUGUCAUAUUAAUCAGAGCUGUGGAAAUUGAAAUAUCCAACUCCAGACCUUUGCUGGUAACAAGUUGAUGGAUCCUCUUUCUUUCCGAGUUACAUGAAAUUGCACACGUCUGUUAUGCACCAAUCACUGUGGGUAGAUUUAAUUUGCUUUUCCUAUUAAUAAUUCUCCAUGAAAUUACAUGUUUUGCCAGCAUUUUGUCAAACUAGUUGGCUGCAGCUUUAUGGAGCCUAUAUCAGCAUGUAGAUUCAAUGGAUUGGCCAAUUCUAAGUCAUAAUCUAGAUUUCCUCUAGUUAUAAAACCAUUUAUGCUACUUCUAACACUUGAUUUGACACUUGACUAACAAUACUAAGCUAUCAGGUGUGGUAGGGUCGGGGUUUAGAUGCAUGAUCACUAUUAGCUCAUACCCAGUUAUCAUUGAAGUCCACAAAAUCACGUCUGGUUGAGCAAAUCUCAAUAAACAUGGAGUGGCUCGUGCAAUUAUUCCGCAUGUCAAGUAUAGUUCGAUCAACAGAGCCUCAACAACCGUGUCAAGGAGAGUGGUGUAUUCCCCAGCUUUUGAGUGUUUGCCAUUGCAAUUGUGCCAAGAUUUUGCAAUUGCUACAUUUCUCAAACAAUUUCAAGCUGCCACUCGCUUUUCAUGUGUAUGAUGUGUGAGCUGCAUAACUAUCAAGCUUCGUUACGGAUUGGCCGAUCAGGUUAGCGUUAUCCUUUCUGGCUCGAAAUUAUGAAGGAGCACACAAUAUAGUUUGUUCGAAGCUUAAACAAGCUGCAAAGGGACACCAUCUACGAAGAUAUAUGGAUUAAAAAUAUAAUGAAAUCUAGAGUACAGUGACCAAAAUUGUACUUAGUUUAAGUGAAAAAACCAUUGGGAUUGAAUUGAAGUUGGAUAUUGGUGGUGUAAUGUUUUGUUGGUAAUGUUCUGAUUUGAAGUUUUUCUGAGGAUCAAAGCCAUUACUGAUGGGUGGUGAAAUUAUCUCCAAUUUGAUUGAAAAGCAUUUAACUUUGA
RNA transcript from Cucumis melo (muskmelon), 2510 nucleotides. It is a transcript of the gene named altered inheritance of mitochondria protein 32-like, with no coding region annotated. The transcript is spliced from 7 exons. The record is from RefSeq and is a predicted model, not a curated record. Lineage: Eukaryota; Viridiplantae; Streptophyta; Magnoliopsida; Cucurbitales; Cucurbitaceae.